GAUGAACGCUGGCGGCGUGCCUAAUACAUGCAAGUCGAGCGAACAGACGAGGAGCUUGCUCCUCUGACGUUAGCGGCGGACGGGUGAGUAACACGUGGAUAACCUACCUAUAAGACUGGGAUAACUUCGGGAAACCGGAGCUAAUACCGGAUAAUAUAUUGAACCGCAUGGUUCAAUAGUGAAAGACGGUUUUGCUGUCACUUAUAGAUGGAUCCGCGCCGCAUUAGCUAGUUGGUAAGGUAACGGCUUACCAAGGCAACGAUGCGUAGCCGACCUGAGAGAGUGAUCGGCCACACGGGAACUGAGACACAGUCCAGACUCCUGCGGGCGGCAGCCGAAGGGAAUCUUCCGCAAUGGGCGAAAGCCUGACGGAACAACGCCGCGUGAGUGAUGAAGGUCUUCGGAUCGUAAAACUCUGUUAUUAGGGAAGAACAAAUGUGUAAGUAACUAUGCACGUCUUGACGGUACCUAAUCAGAAAGCCACGGCUAACUACGUG
RNAcentral lists this ribosomal RNA (497 nucleotides) under uncultured bacterium. RNAcentral's name for it is "partial 16S ribosomal RNA". It matches the Rfam family "Bacterial small subunit ribosomal RNA", at positions 28 to 507 of the family's 1533-position model. The record is from RNAcentral.